UUGAACGCUGGCGGCAGGCCUAACACAUGCAAGUCGAGCGGAUGAAGGGAGCUUGCUCCUGGAUUCAGCGGCGGACGGGUGAGUAAUGCCUAGGAAUCUGCCUGGUAGUGGGGGAUAACGUCCGGAAACGGGCGCUAAUACCGCAUACGUCCUGAGGGAGAAAGUGGGGGAUCUUCGGACCUCACGCUAUCAGAUGAGCCUAGGUCGGAUUAGCUAGUUGGUGGGGUAAAGGCCUACCAAGGCGACGAUCCGUAACUGGUCUGAGAGGAUGAUCAGUCACACUGGAACUGAGACACGGUCCAGACUCCUACGGGAGGCAGCAGUGGGGAAUAUUGGACAAUGGGCGAAAGCCUGAUCCAGCCAUGCCGCGUGUGUGAAGAAGGUCUUCGGAUUGUAAAGCACUUUAAGUUGGGAGAAGGGCAGUAAGUUAAUACCUUGCUGUUUUGACGUUACCAACAGAAUAAGCACCGGCUAACUUCGUG
Molecule: ribosomal RNA, 482 nt
Filed under: uncultured bacterium
Lineage: Bacteria
Description: partial 16S ribosomal RNA
Rfam family: Bacterial small subunit ribosomal RNA
Source: RNAcentral